This 2787-nucleotide ribosomal RNA is filed under the name Escherichia coli. Its description in RNAcentral is "bacterial LSU rRNA". It matches the Rfam family "Bacterial large subunit ribosomal RNA". The record is from RNAcentral. Lineage: Bacteria; Pseudomonadati; Pseudomonadota; Gammaproteobacteria; Enterobacterales; Enterobacteriaceae.
AGCGUACACGGUGGAUGCCCUGGCAGUCAGAGGCGAUGAAGGACGUGCUAAUCUGCGAUAAGCGUCGGUAAGGUGAUAUGAACCGUUAUAACCGGCGAUUUCCGAAUGGGGAAACCCAGUGUGAUUCGUCACACUAUCAUUAACUGAAUCCAUAGGUUAAUGAGGCGAACCGGGGGAACUGAAACAUCUAAGUACCCCGAGGAAAAGAAAUCAACCGAGAUUCCCCCAGUAGCGGCGAGCGAACGGGGAGCAGCCCAGAGCCUGAAUCAGUGUGUGUGUUAGUGGAAGCGUCUGGAAAGGCGCGCGAUACAGGGUGACAGCCCCGUACACAAAAAUGCACAUACUGUGAGCUCGAUGAGUAGGGCGGGACACGUGGUAUCCUGUCUGAAUAUGGGGGGACCAUCCUCCAAGGCUAAAUACUCCUGACUGACCGAUAGUGAACCAGUACCGUGAGGGAAAGGCGAAAAGAACCCCGGCGAGGGGAGUGAAAAAGAACCUGAAACCGUGUACGUACAAGCAGUGGGAGCACGCUUAGGCGUGUGACUGCGUACCUUUUGUAUAAUGGGUCAGCGACUUAUAUUCUGUAGCAAGGUUAACCGAAUAGGGGAGCCGAAGGGAAACCGAGUCUUAACUGGGCGUUAAGUUGCAGGGUAUAGACCCGAAACCCGGUGAUCUAGCCAUGGGCAGGUUGAAGGUUGGGUAACACUAACUGGAGGACCGAACCGACUAAUGUUGAAAAAUUAGCGGAUGACUUGUGGCUGGGGGUGAAAGGCCAAUCAAACCGGGAGAUAGCUGGUUCUCCCCGAAAGCUAUUUAGGUAGCGCCUCGUGAAUUCAUCUCCGGGGGUAGAGCACUGUUUCGGCAAGGGGGUCAUCCCGACUUACCAACCCGAUGCAAACUGCGAAUACCGGAGAAUGUUAUCACGGGAGACACACGGCGGGUGCUAACGUCCGUCGUGAAGAGGGAAACAACCCAGACCGCCAGCUAAGGUCCCAAAGUCAUGGUUAAGUGGGAAACGAUGUGGGAAGGCCCAGACAGCCAGGAUGUUGGCUUAGAAGCAGCCAUCAUUUAAAGAAAGCGUAAUAGCUCACUGGUCGAGUCGGCCUGCGCGGAAGAUGUAACGGGGCUAAACCAUGCACCGAAGCUGCGGCAGCGACGCUGAUGCGUUGUUGGGUAGGGGAGCGUUCUGUAAGCCUGCGAAGGUGUGCUGUGAGGCAUGCUGGAGGUAUCAGAAGUGCGAAUGCUGACAUAAGUAACGAUAAAGCGGGUGAAAAGCCCGCUCGCCGGAAGACCAAGGGUUCCUGUCCAACGUUAAUCGGGGCAGGGUGAGUCGACCCCUAAGGCGAGGCCGAAAGGCGUAGUCGAUGGGAAACAGGUUAAUAUUCCUGUACUUGGUGUUACUGCGAAGGGGGGACGGAGAAGGCUAUGUUGGCCGGGCGACGGUUGUCCCGGUUUAAGCGUGUAGGCUGGUUUUCCAGGCAAAUCCGGAAAAUCAAGGCUGAGGCGUGAUGACGAGGCACUACGGUGCUGAAGCAACAAAUGCCCUGCUUCCAGGAAAAGCCUCUAAGCAUCAGGUAACAUCAAAUCGUACCCCAAACCGACACAGGUGGUCAGGUAGAGAAUACCAAGGCGCUUGAGAGAACUCGGGUGAAGGAACUAGGCAAAAUGGUGCCGUAACUUCGGGAGAAGGCACGCUGAUAUGUAGGUGAAGCGACUUGCUCGUGGAGCUGAAAUCAGUCGAAGAUACCAGCUGGCUGCAACUGUUUAUUAAAAACACAGCACUGUGCAAACACGAAAGUGGACGUAUACGGUGUGACGCCUGCCCGGUGCCGGAAGGUUAAUUGAUGGGGUCAGCGCAAGCGAAGCUCUUGAUCGAAGCCCCGGUAAACGGCGGCCGUAACUAUAACGGUCCUAAGGUAGCGAAAUUCCUUGUCGGGUAAGUUCCGACCUGCACGAAUGGCGUAAUGAUGGCCAGGCUGUCUCCACCCGAGACUCAGUGAAAUUGAACUCGCUGUGAAGAUGCAGUGUACCCGCGGCAAGACGGAAAGACCCCGUGAACCUUUACUAUAGCUUGACACUGAACAUUGAGCCUUGAUGUGUAGGAUAGGUGGGAGGCUUUGAAGUGUGGACGCCAGUCUGCAUGGAGCCGACCUUGAAAUACCACCCUUUAAUGUUUGAUGUUCUAACGUUGACCCGUGAUCCGGGUUGCGGACAGUGUCUGGUGGGUAGUUUGACUGGGGCGGUCUCCUCCUAAAGAGUAACGGAGGAGCACGAAGGUUGGCUAAUCCUGGUCGGACAUCAGGAGGUUAGUGCAAUGGCAUAAGCCAGCUUGACUGCGAGCGUGACGGCGCGAGCAGGUGCGAAAGCAGGUCAUAGUGAUCCGGUGGUUCUGAAUGGAAGGGCCAUCGCUCAACGGAUAAAAGGUACUCCGGGGAUAACAGGCUGAUACCGCCCAAGAGUUCAUAUCGACGGCGGUGUUUGGCACCUCGAUGUCGGCUCAUCACAUCCUGGGGCUGAAGUAGGUCCCAAGGGUAUGGCUGUUCGCCAUUUAAAGUGGUACGCGAGCUGGGUUUAGAACGUCGUGAGACAGUUCGGUCCCUAUCUGCCGUGGGCGCUGGAGAACUGAGGGGGGCUGCUCCUAGUACGAGAGGACCGGAGUGGACGCAUCACUGGUGUUCGGGUUGUCAUGCCAAUGGCACUGCCCGGUAGCUAAAUGCGGAAGAGAUAAGUGCUGAAAGCAUCUAAGCACGAAACUUGCCCCGAGAUGAGUUCUCCCUGACUCCUUGA